This 1531-nucleotide long non-coding RNA is filed under the name Homo sapiens (human). RNAcentral's name for it is "non-protein coding lnc-LPCAT1-4:19". The record is from RNAcentral. Lineage: Eukaryota; Metazoa; Chordata; Mammalia; Primates; Hominidae.
GGUCGAUAAAGACAGGAGUGGAGUGAUAUCAGACACCGAGCUUCAGCAAGCUCUCUCCAACGGCACGUGGACUCCCUUUAAUCCAGUGACUGUCAGGUCGAUCAUAUGUCCUGAGGCACGUGAAUGGCCAGGAUCAGAUUGUGCCCGGCCUGUACGCCUGUGGGGAGGCCGCCUGUGCCUCGGUACAUGGUGCCAAUCGGCUCGGGGCAAACUCGCUCUUGGACUUGGUUGUCUUUGGUCAGGCAUGUGCCCUGAGCAUCGAAGAGUCAUGCAGGCCUGGAGAUAAAGUCCCUCCAAUUAAACCAAACGCUGGGGAAGAAUCUGUCAUGAAUCUUGACAAAUUGAGAUUUGCUGAUGGAAGCAUAAGAACAUGAGAACUGCGACUCAGCAUGCAGAAGUGCCGCUGGGUUAGGGUCUCCACAACCGAGCUGGUCUCAGCAAGUGGCGCCCACACAUGGGGGCUCGAAUCCAGGUCGAAGGGUCACCGGAGCGACAGAAAACUUGGAACUAAGCUGGAGGACACCGAGUACUCUUAUGCAGUCCCCAUGGACUGAACCAUCAAGACACCUGAAACCUUAUCAUGAGCGAAUGCUGAGGAAGAGAUUCCGGGAGGAUCCCGAGGACCCCCCCAGUUGCAGCCAUGUCAAGACUGAUGCUGAGGAGGACCCCAACUGUCACGAGCAACACCCGUCAAACACAGCCAUCCACCUGAGGUCAGAUCAAGAAGCUGUCACAGAUGGCAGAAGAAAACCUGAGGUAAGUGGGACAACCAGUCAAAAUGAGUAAUUUAAUGGUAGCUAUGAUAGUGGUGAUCACCAUUGCCAUGAGUAUUCCUUCAACAAGGGCUGACACAGAGAACAAUUAUACUUACUGGGCAUAUUUAUCAAUCUUGGCUGGCAAGAAUGCCUGGAUGUAAUCACUCUAUGACACAGUUACACAUGCUUUCUGAUCUCAGUAUUUACCAUGAUAAAUCUGCUCCUAUAAUUGAGGCAUACCGCCCUCAAAAACCUAUCUGUAAACAGGAUUGGACCCAGUCAGAGAAAAUGAACGUACAUGUUUGGGAAGAUUGCAUUGCAGAACAGGCAGGGGUGCUGGCAACGAUUCCUAUGGAAUCAUUAUUGAUUGAUCCCCUACGGGGAUGUUUAGCUUGAAUUGCACCUCUCAGUCUGUGUGCCACGGCCCCACUAUGUUCAGCUGGUCUGAACAAAAUGGUCAGAUGGUAGAAAUGAUAAGAAAUACGGCAAGAAUUCCUAUUAUCUGGAACCAUGGCGGUGUAGUGGCACCUCAACCUCAAAUGAUAUGGCCCUUUGUAGGAGCUAAACAUAAGGAUUUGUGGAAACUGUUAAUAGCUCUUAAUAAGAUCAAAAUUUGGGAAAGAAUAAAAAAGCAUCGAGAAGGACACUCUACAAACUUGUCUUUGGAUAUUGCAAAAUUGAAAGAACAGAUAUUUGAAGCAUCCCGGCACACCUGACCUUAAUGCCAGGAACUGGAGUGCUUGAAGGAGCUGCAGACAGAUUAGCAGCUGGUAACC